This 468-nucleotide ribosomal RNA is filed under the name uncultured bacterium. RNAcentral describes it as "partial 16S ribosomal RNA". It matches the Rfam family "Bacterial small subunit ribosomal RNA", at positions 28 to 507 of the family's 1533-position model. The record is from RNAcentral.
GACGAACGCUGGCGGCGUGCUUAACACAUGCAAGUCGAACGGAAAGGCCCUGCUUUUGUGGGAUGCUCGAGUGGCGAACGGGUGAGUAACACGGGAGAAACCUGCCCUUGACUUUGGGAUAACUUGAGGAAACUGGGGAUAAUACCGGAUAGGAGCUCCUGCUGCAUGGUGGGGGUUGGAAAGUUUUGGGGGUUGGGGACGGACUCGCGGCUUAUCAGCUUGUGGGUGGGGUAGUGGCUAACCAAGGCAUUGACGGGUAGCCGGCCUGAGAGGGUGACCGGCCACAUUGGGACUGAGAUACGGCCCAGACUCCUACGGGAGGAGGCGGUGGGGAAUAUUGCACAAGGGGCGGAGGCCUGAUGCAGCAACGCCGCGUGCGGGAUGACGGCCUUCGGGUUGUAAACCGCUUUCGCCUGUGACGAAGCGUGAGUGACGGUAAUGGGUAAAGAAGCACCGGCUAACUACGUG